RNAcentral lists this small nuclear RNA (106 nucleotides) under Castor canadensis (American beaver). Lineage: Eukaryota; Metazoa; Chordata; Mammalia; Rodentia; Castoridae. The record is from RNAcentral.
AUGUUCACUUAAGUAGCACAUAUAUGGAAAUUAGAAUGGUACAGAGAAGAUGAACAUGGCCAUGCACAAGGAUGACAUGCAAAUUCCUGAAGCAUUACAUAUUUAA